Molecule: ribosomal RNA, 607 nt
Filed under: uncultured bacterium
Lineage: Bacteria
Description: bacterial SSU rRNA
Rfam family: Bacterial small subunit ribosomal RNA
Source: RNAcentral
CCAGACUCCUACGGGAGGCAGCAGUAGGGAAUCUUCGGCAAUGGACGGAAGUCUGACCGAGCAACGCCGCGUGAGUGAAGAGGGUUUUCGGAUCGUAAAGCUCUGUUGUAAGAGAAGAACGAGUGUGAGAGUGGAAAGUUCACACUGUGACGGUAUCUUACCAGAAAGGGACGGCUAACUACGUGCCAGCAGCCGCGGUAAUACGUAGGUCCCGAGCGUUGUCCGGAUUUAUUGGGCGUAAAGCGAGCGCAGGCGGUUAGAUAAGUCUGAAGUUAAAGGCUGUGGCUUAACCAUAGUACGCUUUGGAAACUGUUUAACUUGAGUGCAGAAGGGGAGAGUGGAAUUCCAUGUGUAGCGGUGAAAUGCGUAGAUAUAUGGAGGAACACCGGUGGCGAAAGCGGCUCUCUGGUCUGUAACUGACGCUGAGGCUCGAAAGCGUGGGGAGCAAACAGGAUUAGAUACCCUGGUAGUCCACGCCGUAAACGAUGAGUGCUAGGUGUUGGGUCCUUUCCGGGACUCAGUGCCGCAGCUAACGCAUUAAGCACUCCGCCUGGGGAGUACGACCGCAAGGUUGAAACUCAAAGGAAUUGACGGGGGCCCGCACAAG